GGAGCUUAGGUUAACAAUUUUAAACCAAGGACCUUCAAAGUCCUAAAUAUCGAGCUAGUGUCUCAUAACUCCUGAAGACCU
RNAcentral lists this transfer RNA (81 nucleotides) under Uroplatus henkeli. Its description in RNAcentral is "tRNA-Trp". The record is from RNAcentral. Lineage: Eukaryota; Metazoa; Chordata; Lepidosauria; Squamata; Gekkonidae.